Molecule: ribosomal RNA, 805 nt
Filed under: uncultured delta proteobacterium
Lineage: Bacteria; Deltaproteobacteria
Description: bacterial SSU rRNA
Rfam family: Bacterial small subunit ribosomal RNA
Source: RNAcentral
CAAGUCGAGCGAGAAAGGGCUUCGGCCCCGGUAAAGCGGCGCACGGGUGAGUAACGCGUAGGUCAUCAACCCCCGAGUGGUGGAUAACCCUCCGAAAGGAGGGCUAAUACAGCAUGACGGCAGCAAUGUCCAAAGCGGGCCUCUUCAUGAAAGCUCGCGCUUGGGGAUGAGCCUGCGGCCCAUCAGGUAGUUGGCGGAGUAACAGCCCACCAAGCCUAAGACGGGUAGCUGGUCUGAGAGGAUGAACAGCCACACUGGAACUGAGACACGGUCCAGACUCCUACGGGAGGCAGCAGUCGGGAAUCUUCCGCAAUGGGCGAAAGCCUGACGGAGCGACGCCGCGUGAGCGAUGAAGGCCUUCGGGUUGUAAAGCUCUGUGGGGAGAGAAGAAUAAGUUCAGGCCAAUACCCUGAACGAUGACGGUAUCUCCUUAGCAAGCACCGGCUAACUCUGUGCCAGCAGCCGCGGUAAGACAGAGGGUGCAAACGUUGUUCGGAUUUACUGGGCGUAAAGCGCGUGUAGGCGGCUUGGCAAGUCGGAUGUGAAAGCCCACGGCUCAACCGUGGAAGCGCAUCCGAAACUGCUUCGCUCGAGUCUCGGAGAGGAAGGUGGAAUGCUUGGUGUAGAGGUGAAAUUCGUAGAUAUCAAGCAGAACACCUGCGGCGAAGGCGGCCUUCUGGACGAUGACUGACGCUGAGACGCGAAAGCGUGGGGAGCAAACAGGAUUAGAUACCCUGGUAGUCCACGCCGUAAACGAUGAGUGCUAGGUGUCACGGGCUUUGACCCUCGUGGUGCCGUAGCUAAC